This 676-nucleotide ribosomal RNA is filed under the name uncultured bacterium. RNAcentral's name for it is "bacterial SSU rRNA". It matches the Rfam family "Bacterial small subunit ribosomal RNA", at positions 43 to 706 of the family's 1533-position model. The record is from RNAcentral.
CAGGCUUAACACAUUGCAAGUCGAGGGGCAGCAUUUUAGUUUGCUUGCAAACUAAAGAUGGCGACCGGCGCACGGGUGAGUAACACGUAUCCAACCUGCCGAUAACUCGGGGAUAGCCUUUCGAAAGAAAGAUUAAUAUCCGAUGGUAUAUUAAAACCGCAUGGUUUUACUAUUAAAGAAUUUCGGUUAUCGAUGGGGAUGCGUUCCAUUAGUUUGUUGGCGGGGUAACGGCCCACCAAGACUACGAUGGAUAGGGGUUCUGAGAGGAAGGUCCCCCACAUUGGAACUGAGACACGGUCCAAACUCCUACGGGAGGCAGCAGUGAGGAAUAUUGGUCAAUGGACGAGAGUCUGAACCAGCCAAGUAGCGUGAAGGAUGACUGCCCUAUGGGUUGUAAACUUCUUUUAUAUGGGAAUAAAGUAUUCCACGUGUGGGAUUUUGUAUGUACCAUAUGAAUAAGGAUCGGCUAACUCCGUGCCAGCAGCCGCGGUAAUACGGAGGAUCCGAGCGUUAUCCGGAUUUAUUGGGUUUAAAGGGAGCGUAGGUGGAUUGUUAAGUCAGUUGUGAAAGUUUGCGGCUCAACCGUAAAAUUGCAGUUGAAACUGGCAGUCUUGAGUACAGUAGAGGUGGGCGGAAUUCGUGGUGUAGCGGUGAAAUGCUUAGAUAUCACGAAGAA